Molecule: RNase P RNA, 382 nt
Filed under: Azoarcus sp.
Lineage: Bacteria; Pseudomonadati; Pseudomonadota; Betaproteobacteria; Rhodocyclales; Zoogloeaceae
Also listed under: 3 other names
Description: RNase P RNA component class A
Rfam family: Bacterial RNase P class A
About the family: Ribonuclease P (RNase P) is a ubiquitous endoribonuclease, found in archaea, bacteria and eukarya as well as chloroplasts and mitochondria. Its best characterised activity is the generation of mature 5'-ends of tRNAs by cleaving the 5'-leader elements of precursor-tRNAs.
Source: RNAcentral
GAAGUUCGCCAGGCAGUCGCUGUGCACCUCAGGGUGCGUGGAGGAAAGUCCGGGCCCCGCAGAGCAGGAUGCCGGCUAACGGCCGGGCGUCGUGAGGCGACGGAAAGUGCAACAGAGAGCAGACCGCCGAUGGCUUUCGCAAGAAAGAUCAGGUAAGGGUGAAAGGGUGGGGUAAGAGCCCACCGCAGGACUGGCAACAGGACUGGCACGGUAAACCCCAUCCGGGGCAAGGCCAAAUAGGGGAGUAAUGGCGUGGCUCGCGUCGCUCCCGGGUAGGCUGCUAGAGCUUCACGGUAACGUGUCGCCCAGAGGAAUGACUGCCCGAUGGUCCGGUUUGCGCUGGAUCGUUCGACAGAACCCGGCUUAUCGGCGAACUUCCCAA